GCCGGGUGCGGUGGCUCACACCUGUAAUCCCAGCACUUUGGGAGGCUGAGUUGGGCGGAUCACCUGAGGUCAGGAGUUUGAGACCAGCCUGACCAACAUGGAGAAACCCCAUCUCUA
Molecule: unclassified non-coding RNA, 117 nt
Organism: Macaca fascicularis (crab-eating macaque)
Lineage: Eukaryota; Metazoa; Chordata; Mammalia; Primates; Cercopithecidae
Rfam family: Metazoan signal recognition particle RNA
About the family: The signal recognition particle (SRP) is a universally conserved ribonucleoprotein. It is involved in the co-translational targeting of proteins to membranes.
Source: Ensembl